This 229-nucleotide ribosomal RNA is filed under the name uncultured bacterium. RNAcentral describes it as "partial 16S ribosomal RNA". It matches the Rfam family "Bacterial small subunit ribosomal RNA", at positions 568 to 796 of the family's 1533-position model. The record is from RNAcentral.
UGCGUAGGCGGACUAAUAAGUCAGUGGUGAAAUCUCUCGGCUCAACCGGGAAACUGCCAUUGAUACUGUUAGUCUUGAGUUCGGUUGAGGUAGGCGGAAUGUGUAAUGUAGCGGUGAAAUGCUUAGAUAUUACACAGAACACCAAUUGCGUAGGCAGCUUACUAAACCGACACUGACGCUGAGGCACGAAAGCGUGGGUAGCGAACAGGAUUAGAUACCCUGGUAGUCC